GCGGGAUUAGCUCAGCAGGUUAGAGCAUUUGCCUUACAAGCAAGGGGUCACAGGUUCGAGUCCUGUAUCCCGUACCA
RNAcentral lists this transfer RNA (77 nucleotides) under Caudoviricetes sp. RNAcentral's name for it is "tRNA-Val". It matches the Rfam family "tRNA". From Rfam's summary of the family: Transfer RNA (tRNA) molecules are approximately 80 nucleotides in length. Lineage: Duplodnaviria; Heunggongvirae; Uroviricota; Caudoviricetes. The record is from RNAcentral.